AGGGUUCGAUUCUGGCUCAGGAUGAACGCUGGCGGCGUGCUUAACACACGCAAGUCGAACGAUGACUUCUGUGCUUGCACAGAAUGAUUAGUGGCGAACGGGUGAGUAGCACGUGAGUAACCUGCCCUUGACUUCGGGAUAAGCCUGGGAAACCGGGUCUAAUACCGGAUACGACCUCCUGGCGCAUGCCAUGGGGGUGGAAAGCUUUAUGCGGUUUUUGGAUGGACUCGCGGCCUAUCAGCUUGUUGGUUGGGGUAAUGGCCCACCAAGGCGACGACGGGUAGCCGGCCUGAGAGGGUGACCGGCCACACUGGGACUGAGACACGGCCCAGACUCCUACGGGAGGCAGCAGUGGGGAAUAUUGCACAAUGGGCGGAAGCCUGAUGCAAGCGACGCCGCGUGAGGGAUGACGGCCUUCGGGUUGUAAACCUCUUUCAGCAGGGAAGAAGCGAAAGUGACGGUACCUGCAGAAGAAGCGCCGGCUAACUACGUGCCAGCAGCCGC
RNAcentral lists this ribosomal RNA (504 nucleotides) under uncultured bacterium. RNAcentral's name for it is "bacterial SSU rRNA". It matches the Rfam family "Bacterial small subunit ribosomal RNA", at positions 8 to 518 of the family's 1533-position model. The record is from RNAcentral.